This 1279-nucleotide long non-coding RNA is filed under the name Bos indicus x Bos taurus (hybrid cattle). RNAcentral's name for it is "lncRNA (ENSBIXG00005030790.1)". The record is from RNAcentral. Lineage: Eukaryota; Metazoa; Chordata; Mammalia; Artiodactyla; Bovidae.
GGCAAAACAGAAUUCUUGAGUAUUCAGUAAGAGCAAUUAAGAUUUUAUUUGCACAGUAUUUGCAUAAAAGUAAAAACCAGCUGGGCCUAUUUUGGUUCCACAUCCAGUGGGGAUAAAGGCAGCUCAGAGACACACAGUCAAGAAGCAGAGGAAAGUUGAGUUACAAAGGAUCAAAAAGAUUUCUGCCCUGUAAUUAAGUAAUACCUAGGGGUUAGCCUCCAUGAUUGUAAAUAUCAGGAAAGGGGAUUUGCCAAGGGGUGGGCAGGGCUGAGGUCAGCAGGACUGAGGUCAGCAGGACUGAUGUCUGCCAGAUGACGGGCGGACAGAGCUCGGGAUCCGCGCCUGUCUUGGAUCCGGGCGGCAGCGAUUACAGAACCAGACAUCACAGGGGAGUGUGGCCAAUUGGCUGCCCCGGAGCCUGGCAGAAACGUGUGGAAUCUGGCCAGGAAUUCCCCGUUCACCACUGCCUCUGGAUUGUUACUCAACCUUCAGAUGGAAAGCUGGCGUUGGAACCAAGACCGAGAUCUGGCCGAUCCAGUCGUGGGUGCGUUUCUGCCCAGUUUCACCACAGCAGCUUCACUGGAAACGAACGAACAAAAAAAGCAACGAUGGAGACAGGCCUGGGAAACGACAAACAUCAGGAGGCUGGUAGCUAGCUGCUUUGGAAUGUUAAGAUGACUCGUGGGAAUCAGCCCUGACACCAAAGCCUGGGAGGUAAAAGUCUGGGGUGUGCGUUAGACGGUGGAGGUGGGGGGCGGGAAUAAGGACAGAGUGGCCAAGGGAACAGACCCGCAGGAACGGUCAGCAUUCAAGUCACAACGCCUGGGUUAUAAAGCGACAGUGAUGGGGCAAAACUGAGAAGAAAGUGCAACAGAGCCGCGGAGGGAUGGACUACAGCUGCUCCCUUAGCAGACCCAUUUUUCAAAUGAAGAGCGGCGCCCUGUGCCCCAGGCAGGGCUGUGAACUCAGAGUCUCUGACAGUCAGUGUUCUCUGCCAAAAGGGCAGCAGCGGUUAAGGUUAUCUGGCGGAGAAGAGCCUCUGAGGUUCGUGUCAUGUGGACAGACACCUGCCCAAGGUCACCACCCCGCUCCCCGACGAUGCUCGCAUCCCCCUUGGCUGGGGGUCGACUGGGGCGUGCGUGUGGGGGCCUGACUCAUACGUGCGUGCGUGUGGGGCCAGACUCCUACCUACGACUGGCGUCUCCGGUAAGGCUUAGCGGCGAGGGCGGCCUGCAUCUGUCCCGAGGGGUGGCCCUGAAUCUCGGGGUGUGCAUAGCUU